UCGAUCGUGCAUCGGUUCAUGAGAACCCGUCAUGGACCACGAGAAACCACCUUCGAAAUGUCGUCGGUCCACCCUGGACCGCGCAAAUUGACUGAGAAAUAGCUGCUUGAUCCACAGCUCCGCCUGUGGACCGCUGGUCCGUGAUGGACCGCAUGAAGGAUAGCGGGCCUGAGCGCUCGCACACUCACCCAUGCUGGGUUGAGGCUGCAGGCAGCGCUCCCGUGGUCGGCUCGCGCACACCC
RNAcentral lists this long non-coding RNA (242 nucleotides) under Elaeis guineensis (African oil palm). RNAcentral's name for it is "long non-coding RNA (EGUI_LNC026865)". Lineage: Eukaryota; Viridiplantae; Streptophyta; Magnoliopsida; Arecales; Arecaceae. The record is from RNAcentral.